This 427-nucleotide ribosomal RNA is filed under the name uncultured bacterium. RNAcentral describes it as "partial 16S ribosomal RNA". It matches the Rfam family "Bacterial small subunit ribosomal RNA", at positions 355 to 774 of the family's 1533-position model. The record is from RNAcentral.
UGGGGAAUAUUGCACAAUGGGCGCAAGCCUGAUGCAGCCAUGCCGCGUGUAUGAAGAAGGCCUUCGGGUUGUAAAGUACUUUCAGCGAGGAGGAAGGCGGUAAGGUUAAUAACCUUAUCGAUUGACGUUACUCGCAGAAGAAGCACCGGCUAACUCCGUGCCAGCAGCCGCGGUAAUACGGAGGGUGCAAGCGUUAAUCGGAAUUACUGGGCGUAAAGCGCACGCAGGCGGUCUGUCAAGUGGGAUGUGAAAUCCCCGGGCUCAACCUGGGAACUGCAUUCGAAACUGGCAGGCUAGAGUCUUGUAGAGGGGGGUAGAAUUCCAGGUGUAGCGGUGAAAUGCGUAGAGAUCUGGAGGAAUACCGGUGGCGAAGGCGGCCCCCUGGACAAAGACUGACGCUCAGGUGCGAAAGCGUGGGGAGCAAACA